GACGAACGCUGGCGGCGCGCCUAACACAUGCAAGUCGAACGAGCGAGAGAGAGCUUGCUUUCUCGAGCGAGUGGCGAACGGGUGAGUAACGCGUGAGGAACCUGCCUCAAAGAGGGGGACAACAGUUGGAAACGACUGCUAAUACCGCAUAAGCCCACGGUGCCGCAUGGCACAGAGGGAAAAGGAGCAAUCCGCUUUGAGAUGGCCUCGCGUCUGAUUAGCUAGUUGGUGAGGUAAUGGCCCACCAAGGCGACGAUCGGUAGCCGGACUGAGAGGUUGAACGGCCACAUUGGGACUGAGACACGGCCCAGACUCCUACGGGAGGCAGCAGUGGGGAAUAUUGCACAAUGGGGGAAACCCUGAUGCAGCGACGCCGCGUGGAGGAAGAAGGUCUUCGGAUUGUAAACUCCUGUUGUUGGGGAAGAUAAUGACGGUACCCAACAAGGAAGUGACGGCUAACUACGUG
Molecule: ribosomal RNA, 466 nt
Filed under: uncultured bacterium
Lineage: Bacteria
Description: partial 16S ribosomal RNA
Rfam family: Bacterial small subunit ribosomal RNA
Source: RNAcentral